This 600-nucleotide ribosomal RNA is filed under the name uncultured bacterium. RNAcentral's name for it is "bacterial SSU rRNA". It matches the Rfam family "Bacterial small subunit ribosomal RNA", at positions 95 to 669 of the family's 1533-position model. The record is from RNAcentral.
GCGGCGAACGGGUGCGUAACACGUGGAUAAUCUGCCUUUCGGUGGGGGAUAACGGCUGGAAACGGCCGCUAAUACCGCAUGUGGUUGCGAGGUCUUCGGGCCUUGCAAAGAAAGAGGCCUUUAAAGCCUUGCCGAGAGAUGAGUCCCGCCCGGGGCCCCCCCCAAUUAGCUAGUUGGCGGGAUAACAGCCACCAAGGCUUCGAUGGGUAGCCGAGCUGAGAGGUUGAUCGGCACACUGGGACUGAGACACGGCCCAGACACCUACGGGUGGCAGCAGUAGGAAUAUUGGACAAUGGGGGAAACCCUGAUCCAGCGAUGCCGCGUGAAUGAUGAAGGCCUUCGGGUCGUAAAGUUCUUUUCUGAGGGAAGAACUGUUGGGCGAGGAAAUGCGCCUGAUUUGACGGUACCUCAGGAAUAAGCAACGGCUAACUCCGUGCCAGCAGCCGCGGUAAUACGGAGGUUGCAAGCGUUGUUCGGAAUAACUGGGCGUAAAGGGAGCGCAGGCGGCUUGGUAAGUCUAAAGUGAAAUUCCAGGGGCUCAACCCUGGACGUGCUUUGGAUACUGCCUGGCUUGAGUACGUGAGAGGACGAUUGGAAUUC